CAAUAGCGUAUAUUAAAGUUGUUGCAGUUAAAAAGCUCGUAGUUGGAUUUCUGUCUUUGUUGUGCGGUCCACCGCGAGGUGAGCACUGUGCGAUGGGGACUUCCUCUCGAUGUUGUGCCGUGUUCUUAACUGAGUGCGGUAUUGACUCGGGACCUUUACUUUGAAAAAAUUAGAGUGUUCAAAGCAGGCCUACGCUUGAAUACAUUAGCAUGGAAUAAUUGAAUAGGACUUCGGUUCUAUUUUGUUGGUUUCUAGGACCGAAGUAAUGAUUAAUAGGGACAGUUGGGGGCAUUAGUAUUUAAUUGUCAGAGGUGAAAUUCUUGGAUUUAUGAAAGACUAACUACUGCGAAAGCAUUUGCCAAGGAUGUUUNCAUUAA
RNAcentral lists this ribosomal RNA (377 nucleotides) under uncultured eukaryote. RNAcentral's name for it is "partial 18S ribosomal RNA". It matches the Rfam family "Eukaryotic small subunit ribosomal RNA", at positions 592 to 976 of the family's 1831-position model. The record is from RNAcentral.